Long non-coding RNA from Dreissena polymorpha, 631 nucleotides. RefSeq lists it as uncharacterized. Lineage: Eukaryota; Metazoa; Mollusca; Bivalvia; Myida; Dreissenidae. The record is from RefSeq and is a predicted model, not a curated record. The transcript is spliced from 3 exons.
UAGGUUUUCAUGAGAACCUAGGUUCUUAUUUGAAAACCUAGGUUCUCAUGAGAACCUAGGUUCUCAUUUGAAAACCUAGGUUUUCAUGAGAACCUAGGUUCUCAGAAUGAGAACCUAGGUUCUCAUGAGAAACCUAGUUUCUUGGGAUUAUGCGUCUAACUGCUUGCCAUAUCCGUGGUUUUCAUUUGGGAACCAUAGGUUCUCUGAAAACCUAGGUUUUCAGAUCUCUAGGUUUGCAGAAUUACGCGUCGGACGGCGUAAACUUGCUCGUUUGGAAUACGGGACACAUUAUUCAGGGCGCAGGAUCAAUGGGGUUCACAUAUGAUUACACACGGGCUGGACAGAAUGAAAACACGCCGUUAAGAACUUUAUUUUUGCAGAUAUCUCAAGUUAUUGAAAUAUGUUUGCAAAGUCUUUAGCGCAUAAGUUUUUCUUGCAAUGUUGCCGAUAUCUUACGAUUGAAUAAAACAUUAUUACACAUAAUCAAUAGAGAUAAAACUUUAUACCAUAAUGAUUGCUUCCUACAUGUAGGUCACAGACAUACUUAAAAUAGAAAACUGUACCGUACAGUCGUUUGAGGCCCGAACAAGGGAACUGAAUAUUUGAAACUCAUUCAAUGCUGUAACAAUGU